RNAcentral lists this ribosomal RNA (1146 nucleotides) under Triticum aestivum (bread wheat). RNAcentral describes it as "partial small subunit ribosomal RNA". The record is from RNAcentral. Lineage: Eukaryota; Viridiplantae; Streptophyta; Magnoliopsida; Poales; Poaceae.
CUCUCCUAACUGACAGACGUCCCUUCUUCUACACUACGACCGGUCGAUGGAUGGAUGGGUACCUCUCCGACGUCUUCGAAGCCGGGCAGGUAGCGCCUAGGCUACCAGCGCUCUUUGCCUCUACUGUCGACUAGACCCCACGUUUUGGCUGUCAAAGUGCUAGAGGUCCGUCUCUAGUGGAGUUCAGAGUUCCACUCAUUACAUAAGUACCUCGUCGUCGGUCCCCAUCACGAGGUGGUACGUCCUGUCGACUAUAGAAACUGGAUCCGUUUCGAGGUAGUUUCCUGCACAUUUGAUUACCCACUCUUUGGAUAGAUACGAUGGCGAGGGUUCAGGUCUGCCUGUGUGCGCAAACCAUUAAUCAUCGUGAUCGUAGGAAUAAUGUCGGUACACUAACGCUACUAGAACAAAAUAAAUGACAACUGUCGUCCUCCACCCACCACGUAGACGUCACACCUAGUAGAUGGCUACACGUAAUACCCUGAUUAUAAUUGUGAGUAAACAUACAUCUCUUUUUACCGAGUUCUAGUCUUGUUGGUAAAAAGGAAUCGUCUCGUCGUCAACUUAACUCAUGCACACAGCGCCCUUCUUUACCAGUAGCACCUACGUUACUUGUGGUCGACUAACUAGUUAUUAAGACUUUUACCGAAGCUCGAGUACGUACGUGCCGGCUACCCGACGUGCAGCCGCGACGAAACGGACUGAGGUACCUGUACGUAACGUUGUUGCUGACUACGAGACGAGCACGCUUUGCACCGUCCUUGCUUCCAAGGACACUGACUCUUACGUCCGAGUGACAGUACACGCGUACGCAACUGGAGGAACGGACGGUUGGGUCACCUGUCACAAUAAAACUUAAGUUCUCUUACCUCGGCAAUCCGGUGUCUAGGACGACGGGGCGGGGUGGCAACCACUCUCAUCCACUCCCACCUUUCACCUCCACCUAUUAGUCUUUAUAGGUUACAAAAAUAACCUCUUUUACGGGAUAAUCAUAGACUUUAUUAUAUACAACGUUCAACUAAUAAAACACAGUGUAUCGAUAACUGAACACAAGAAAUUGAUUAUAAAGCGGUAAUAACCAUAGGCAAGACUUAGCUAAUUUUUAGGCUAUACAUUAAUACAUAUGUACGAGCUCAUUGUAAGCUA